GGAAACUGAGGAUAAUACUGGAUAGGCAAUUUUUCCUGCAAUGGUUUUUUGUUUAAAUGUUUUUUCGCCUAAGGAUGGGUCUGCGGCCGAUUAGGUAGUUGGUUAGGUAGCGGCUUACCAAGCCAUUGAUCGGUACGGGUUGUGAGAGCAAGAGCCCGGAGAUGGAACCUGAGACAAGGUUCCAGGCCCUACGGGGUGCAGCAGGCGCGAAACCUCCGCAAUGUGAGAAAUCGCGACGGGGGGAUCCCAAGUGCCAUUCUUAACGGGAUGGCUUUUCAUUAGUGUAAAGAGCUUUUGGAAUAAGGGCUGGGCAAGACCGGUGCCAGCCGCCGCGGUAACACCGGCAGCUCUAGUGGUAGCAGUUUUUAUUGGGCCUAAAGCGUCCGUAGCCGGUUUAAUAAGUCUCUGGUGAAAUCCUGUAGCUUAACUGUGGGAAUUGCUGGAGAUACUAUUAGACUUGAGACCGGGAGAGGUUAGAGGUACUCCCAGGGUAGAGGUGAAAUUCUGUAAUCCUGGGAGGACCGCCUGUUGCGAAGGCGUCUAACUGGAACGGUUCUGACGGUGAGGGACGAAAGUUAGGGGCGCGAACCGGAUUAGAUACCCGGGUAGUCCUAACCGUAAACGAUGCGGACUUGGUGUUGGGGUGGCUUUGAGCUGCUUCAGUGCCGAAGGGAAGCUGUUAAGUCCGCCGCCUGGGAAGUACGGUCGCAAGACUGAAACUUA
Molecule: ribosomal RNA, 723 nt
Filed under: uncultured archaeon
Lineage: Archaea
Description: bacterial SSU rRNA
Rfam family: Archaeal small subunit ribosomal RNA
Source: RNAcentral